This is a long non-coding RNA of Mus musculus (house mouse), 1097 nucleotides long. RefSeq annotates it as RIKEN cDNA 4930455B14 gene. The record is from RefSeq and is marked validated. The transcript has 6 exons. NCBI's taxonomy places the organism in Eukaryota, Metazoa, Chordata, Mammalia, Rodentia, Muridae.
AACUGAGGGGCUUGUCCACCUGUAACAGCUGGUAACUCACCAGCCCAAAAGGUGUAGGGUUCCUUAAGCCAGGGUCUCACUCAGAUCUUGUAUCUUCACAUCGCCUCUAAGUAGUAACUCUGGUAACUGCUGUUUGUUCAGAAAGUUGGAAAUACAAAACGAAGGAUUCAGCGGGGCUGCAUUCCUUCUGGAGACCUGAGGAGAAUCCUUUUGAUGAAUGCUAGCUAUAUGCAAAAUCUUGGAUUUGCGUAUGACUUCAAGAACAUCUACCAGCACUGUAUGAGAGAGAAAAAGCCAGCCUCCUCCAAUAACUUGGCUUAAACAAGCUAUUUAUAGAGAGGGGGAUGAUGCUCAUGAGCCUCAGGAGAAAAACAAAAGAUCACUGGUCCUCAGGAGUGGAAACUUGGGAGAUUCUCAACUGUCUCUCUCCAGCAGUAUAAAAAGCAUACUUCAGAACAAAAGGUCAGCAGUCAUUGUUUCAGUCAGCUGAGGAGAUUUAGUCUACAGGCACAAACGUCCCCCCGGACUCGGAAGCUCAAAAGAAUGAAGUGUACUCAGCAUCUUUCAGCACUAGGAGAGCUAACCAGUAUAGAAGAAGUCUCUGGGAAAUUUGAUUUUUCCAUAUUCUAUAACUCAAGUAUGUGCUGUCUUCAGAGAUAAGGUCUCACUGGAAAGUUCUGAAGAGUUACUGAGAGAAGUGACAAUGGCUCAUAAUAUUUAGAGGUUUGGGAGGCCUCACUGCUCAGAAGCUCCAAAAGAAGUAACCCAUCCUGGACUGGGGGUUUUAUUUGUAAGGGUUUCCUGUAUUUUAGUGACUAAAAUCUAAGUUGCAUGGCAAAAGCUGAUGUCAUGGGCAGGAAUGACACUUGUUUCACAUGGAAAAGCACUAAAUAUAUUCAACAAUAAUAUAACCUGUCACUCUCUUAUUAUAACACUACCUUUUACAUUAUUCUCUUUGCUAUGUAAAAUAUUCUCUACUCAUAAAACUAAAAAAUGGGAGGGAACAAAUAUCUAAUAAACAUUUGAAGAGUGACAAAUGAUAUAUCUAUAUGAUUGAAUAUUUGCCAAUAAAAAUAAAUCAGGCAUUGAUACACGGU